This 471-nucleotide long non-coding RNA is filed under the name Pan troglodytes (chimpanzee). RNAcentral's name for it is "lincRNA". The record is from RNAcentral. Lineage: Eukaryota; Metazoa; Chordata; Mammalia; Primates; Hominidae.
AUAGCAGCAUUUUAAUCAUCUCUUCCAUUAAACCAAGAUUACACAAAAGCGUUUGAGGACACUGAGGAAUGGCACUUCUAAUUUUGCUUCAGAAACCAGUACUCAAAAUGUCUGGUUUGGAGGAGCUGGGCUGCUUGGAUCAGAGGUUCCAUGGUCUGAACUACUCCACUCUGGUGAAGGUUUCUUCCCAAAGCCACUCCUCAAGCUGACUUAUAUUGUACCUGAGUUGCAUGCCUGUGCUCCAAGAGCAGACGUCCUUCCGCAGGAGCAGGUCAUUAAGAGUCACUGCGUUGAUCAUGUAGAAGAGCUGUUUGAAUACCUGCAGGAUGAUCUCAGGGUCCAAGCCCUGGUCACACAUGACUGUAUGAAAGGCAUUCAUCUGGCGGAUGAUAGCUUCCAGGCGGUAUGAGUUAUCCCCAUCUGCCAUGCUGGAGGAGUGCUUCUGGGAGCAGUGGGCUUCACACCAGAUAG